CAAGAGGACACCUUCACUUUCUGGCCUCAUGUCUUGGUCAACUCUCCUGCCCUCUUGUCGCAGAGGGACCUUGAUCGUCUGAUUUUCUACAGAACAUCACACUGGUCCACUUCAUUGAUGGAUUUAUGUUAUUUAAUCAGUGAACAGGGAGUCGCAGGCGCCCUUGAUGAUAACACACGUGUGCCACAGAGUGGAGGAUAAACUGCGUCAUCUACUCCCCAUCCCAUCACACUGGUCUCCUGGCUUAUUACUGGGACCCAGUAAAGUUUGAAUACCUGACCAUGGGACACCAAGAGCGUUGUGACCUGAACUGCACAUCACAUACUGGGUGUAGUCAAGUUACCAAACCACGACGUUGGGCACGCACAGCACCAUCUGCCAUCCGUGGAGAAGUGGCAAGAAGGCAGAUGCGAUGGGAUCUACAGCACCUAAAACCGUGCCUGGCACACAACGGGCAGCUCAUUAGACCUGGAAUGCAGUCACUGAGGUUACUCUGUGCCAACUCUCUCAGCCCUUUGCCUGGACUACCGGAUACGGCCUAGCGACCACGCAGCAGGGUAGGUACUACGAUUGCCAUCACCUCGGCCCCAGGUUUCAGAAGGGGAAACCAGGGCGCAGAAAGAGGGAGAAUUGGGUUUGGAACUGCAAGCGUGAGGGGAACCUGGCAGGAGAUUCAGGGCACAGAAUCCAGGGCAGCGAGACGCAGGACCCCGUGCGGGGGUCUUGCCCUCUUGGGCAGCCCACACACCUACAUCUAUGAGCAGAAGCGUCUCCUGACACACCUCCCCACGAUUACACAGCUGCUCCGUAUUCGUGGACCACGUGACAGGUUUCUGAGCCAGGUCUUGAGAAGUCUGAAGCAUGAUCCCCCGAUGACAGGUCAGCAUAGCUGCGGAGAAAGAAUGGCCAGGGUCUGGGUGAUUCAGGGGCCUGCCUGGUCCUGCGCUUGGGAAGAUGAUCACGUUCUUGACUCACCCUCCAAGCCAUCUAGCUGCUGGGUGCCUCCGCCUCAGAUUAGCAGGGACACAGGAAGUCCGAGCCCCACCCCCAGUUUUUCCCCUGCUCUUGCUGGAAUAUCGAGGGGGCUUUUCCCAACCCCCCUUGGGGACGGCUGCUCCUCCCUUUGGGUGUGAGAGAGAUGGAUGGCUCUUCCUUAGCAUGAGCCAAUCUCUACUUCCCUCUCUGGGCUUCAGGGUCCUUAUUGGAAAAUAAGGAGGGCAGCCUGACACCGCAGAUUUCUUUUAACUGAGAAACCCUAUGUUCCAAACAAAAAUACUCAGACGCUUCGCGCGCCCUGAAUACUUAACUGAGGUGCCCGGCUGCCAUGACUACUUUCCAGGGAUUAACCCGUUUAAGCCUCCCGAGGAGUUGCCUCGCCUGGAUUGGCUCGUUUCCUCCUGGCCCCUGGCCCCCGGCCCGCACCAAGCAGGUGGUGUUAUCCUCGUCAUCCCCAUUUCCUGUUCUUUUCUUUUUUUAAAUGUCUUUAUUCCCCUUGAUCACUCUGCUGGAGCCAAACUGGCCUCUGGAUUCUUCCUUGAACACACGGCGGGCACAUACCAGCCCAGGGCCUUUGUAUACUCUGCGACCCCUGACUGUCUGGGGUUAUCUCCUCCUCCCUGAACUUGCUGAAAGAGGCUCAAAGAGGUGGUAAUCCUCAAACGCUGGUUCAGCGGCAGAGCCCAGACGGAAACCCACGUCUUUCUGACUCACACGCUCAGCUCUUAAAGGCUGUGCUCUCCCUGACUGUGCGACCCACUGCUCUCACUGGGACCACCAUCCUAUUCCUCAGGGGGAGAGUCGAGGCUGUUACAAUCCCAGCCCUUUGGUUCUUCUUUAGUAUGGGCUCCUGUGGUGGUCCAUUUUGCACCCAGUCCUGGCACCCCGUCCUCUCCUUCCCCCACGCCUUCCAGGAGCUGUUCUAUCUCCCUGAGAUGCCCUUCUGUCCUCCACUUACUCCCUGACAUCUCGCUGUACCCCAUCUUUUCAUGCCUGGCCUUGCCGAUGCUCAAUAGAUAUUUGCUAAACUACCGAACUGAACUUAACCAGGGAAGACAAAUGCACCGUCCAAGAUCCGGCUCUGAUGCUGAAAGCCAACAGAAUAUGGACAUAGAUUAGGGAUAUCCAUUUGUGGCCUAAUGGCUGUGUUUUAUGUGACGUGUGUGGUUUGAGAGCGUACAUAUAUGGGAUGUGUGUAGAUGUGUAGUGGGUAUGUGGGGUGUGUGGGGUAGUAUGGGAAUGUGUGAAAUGUAUAUGGUGUGUGUAUGGUAUGUGAUGUGUGGUGUGUGUGUACAGUGAUACAGUGUGUUGGUGAGGUAUGUGGUAUAUGUUUGUUGCAUGGGUGUGGCGUGGUGUGUGUCCCGUGUACCUGUGUUUUGUUUGUGUGUGCUGUCCGCGGCAUGUGAAGUGUGGUCUGUGUGCUGGGUGUGGCAUGUGCUAUAUGUAGUGUGUGAAGUCUGUGGUGUGUGCGGGAUGUGUGAGGUUUAAGGAGGCCCGUGUGCGGUAUGUGAGGUGUGGUGUGUACUUGGCACAGUGUGUGUUUGUGUCUCCUGAGUGUAUUGUGUGCGUUAUGGUGUGUGGUGUGCGUGGCGCACAUCUGAUCUGUUUCGGAAACGCCUUCUGAAUUAUGAAUGUUACCUAGUCCCAGAGACGAAGGCCAGAUAAGUAAACCAGCAUUAAUGAGAAGGAAAGAUUCAGACUCUGUUCUCCUCUGCUCAACACCCUUCCACAGCUCCACUGCCCUCAGCAGAAAGGCCAGCCUCUCAGUCUGGCUGGGCAGACACCUGACCCACCACCAGGACCCCCCGCCUACCUCUCGGCUCCCCCAACAAUAUCCAUUCCCAAGACACAGCAGCGCAUUUCCUGCCUCCUUGGCCUGGCACCCGCUUCCUCCUGGAAAACUUGUGAUCACCCACCACCCCCAGCUGCACCCCAUCCUCUCGAUGAGCCCCUCCUCAGGCAGAGCCAAGGGACCCCUCUUCAAACCAGCAGGCUGCCCCCACCUCCAAGCCUUUGUCCAUGCUGUUUCCUCUGCCUGUUCGUGUCCUUUUCCUCUUCUGUGAAUAAACUGCAGCUCAUCUUUAA
This is a long non-coding RNA of Lagenorhynchus albirostris (white-beaked dolphin), 3081 nucleotides long. RefSeq lists it as uncharacterized. The transcript has 3 exons. NCBI's taxonomy places the organism in Eukaryota, Metazoa, Chordata, Mammalia, Artiodactyla, Delphinidae. The record is from RefSeq and is a predicted model, not a curated record.